UUCCGGUUGAUCCUGCCGGAGGCCAUUGCUAUCGGUGUCCGAUUUAGCCAUGCGAGUUGCACGUUUAACGUAGCAAACUGCUCAGUAACACGUGGCCAAUCUGCCCUAUGGACUGGGAUAACCUCGGGAAACUGAGGCUAAUCCCGGAUAGUACAUCCAGCCUGGAACUGGCGGAUGUCUGAAACGCUCCGGCGCCAUAGGAUGAGGCUGCGGCCGAUUAGGUAGACGGUGGGGUAACGGCCCACCGUGCCAAUAAUCGGUACGGGUCAUGAGAGUGAGAGCCCGGAGACGGACUCUGAGACACGAGUCCGGGCCCUACGGGGCGCAGCAGGCGCGAAACCUUUACACUGCACGCCAGUGCGAUAGGGGGACACCGAGUGCGAGGGCAUAGAGCCCUCGCUUUUGUAGACCGUAAGGAGGUCUACGAAUAAGGGCUGGGCAAGACCGGUGCCAGCCGCCGCGGUAACACCGGCAGCCCAAGUGAUGGCCGAUAUUAUUGGGCCUAAAGCGUCCGUAGCUGGCCGCACAAGUCCGUCGGGAAAUCCACUCGCUUAACGAGUGGGCGUCCGGCGGAAACUGUGCGGCUUGGGACCGGAAGAUCCAAGGGGUACGUCUGGGGUAGGAGUGAAAUCCUGUAAUCCUGGACGGACCACCGAUGGCGAAAGCACCUUGGAAGGACGGAUCCGACAGUGAGGGACGAAAGCUAGGGUCUCGAACCGGAUUAGAUACCCGGGUAGUCCUAGCCGUAAACGAUGCUCGCUAGGUGUGGCGCAGGCUACGAGCCUGCGCUGUGCCGUAGGGAAGCCGUGAAGCGAGCCGCCUGGGAAGUACGUCUGCAAGGAUGAAACUUAAAGGAAUUGGCGGGGGAGCACUACAACCGGAGGAGCCUGCGGUUUAAUUGGAUUCAACGCCGGG
RNAcentral lists this ribosomal RNA (915 nucleotides) under uncultured archaeon. RNAcentral's name for it is "bacterial SSU rRNA". It matches the Rfam family "Archaeal small subunit ribosomal RNA", at positions 1 to 922 of the family's 1478-position model. The record is from RNAcentral.